This 1645-nucleotide long non-coding RNA is filed under the name Homo sapiens (human). RNAcentral describes it as "HSALNT0363024". Lineage: Eukaryota; Metazoa; Chordata; Mammalia; Primates; Hominidae. The record is from RNAcentral.
CUGCAUCCAGCUAUUUAUUUUAUUUUUUAAAUGACACAUAAUUGUACAUAUCAGUGGGGUACAUAGUGAUAUUUCAAUAUAUACAAUUUCUAGUGAUCAGAUCAGGGUAAUUAGCAUAUCCAUCUUCUCCAACAUUUAUCCAUUGUUAGAAACAAAAUGCUUGUUCCUUGGUGCCGCAAGGAGAAAUCAGCAUUCAGACAAAAAGUUUUCACAGCAAGGCAAUUUUACUUACUGCAGAAAAGGUGCUGCUUGUCAGCAAUCUUGCCACGAGACCACACUGAACAAAGAAAGACAGGAAUAUUUAUCCCCUAUGCACUGGGUCCUUACUGCUGUGUCCUAUCUCCAUUGGUUGGAGCUGGACCUCACAGUCUAAGUUAAACCCAGCUGGCUAACAAUUUAAGACUUUCCUAAAUAGGUAAAGGUAAUGGAGAACAAAAGGAAAAGAGGCUUGCGAAAGGACUUAGAGAAGUAACAACAUUUCCAAAUAAGGAAGGGGCAAAGGCUGUGAGCUGGGACAUGCCUGAGCAUGCCCAGAACAAAUAUCUUGGUUAAAGUACAAGGACAUAGAAUAUACUUAUUCCCUUAUAUCUAACAGCUACGUAGGAUAGGGCUUAACAAAGAGUUAUUAGCAAAAAGCAAGAAGGCUUUGGAGGAAGUUAGUCUUUAAAAUAAACUAUUAUUUCUAACAUUUAUUAUUUAUUCUUUAACAAGAAGGGAAACUUUGAAGAGGAAUUUUACUUUCCACAUCCAUUUUUCAUUUCUUUUCUUUUCUUUUUUUUUUUUCUUUUUUUUUUCUGAGACAGGGUCUCACUCUGUCACCCAGGCUGGAGUGCAGUGGUGCCAUCUCAGCUCACUGCAACCUCUGCCUCCUGGUUUCAAGUGAUUCUCUUGACUCAGCCUCCUGGAUAGCUGGGAUUACAGGCAUGAGCCACUGUGCCUGGCCCACUAUGUCUUAAAAGUGCUGGAGGGAAGUGGGAGCCGCGACCCUUCCAAAGGACACCUUUCAUACCUUUCAUACCGUGCUGCAGGCAGACAAUUUAUUGAAAAGCAAUCUGCCCCAAAACAACCCACCAAAAAUCAAUUUGACAAAUUCACCCUAGAGCCCCUAGGCUGGAAAUGACGUCUCUCUGUCUCCACUUCAAGCCUGUCUCCCAGAAAGUAUUUUUUUGUUUCUUUAUAACAUGACAGCUCAGCAUGUCAUUAAAGAUUUUUCCUCGUCAUUCUAUUCCCCUGGCCUUCUUCUCCUCCUAGAAUUUGUAUUUCUAGCCAGCAGAGUUGAGACAUGGGACCAAUGAUUUACUUAAGCAGAUGUAAUCGCCGGGCAUGGUGGCUCACACCUGUAAUCCCAGGACUUUGGAAGGCCGAGGCAGGUGGAUUGCUUGAGCUCCGGAAGUUUGAGACCAACCUGGGCAACAUGGCAAAACCGUGUCUCUACAAAACAAACAAACAAACAAACAAAAAAAAAACCAAAAAAGACAAAAAAUCAAAAAUUAGCUUGGUACGGUGGUAUGCGCCUGUAGUCCCAGCUACUUGGGAGGCUGAGACAGAAGAACGGCGUGAAUCCGGGAGGCGGAGCUUGCAGUGAGCCAAGAUUGUGCCACUGCACUCCAGCCUGGGCAACAGAGCGAGACUCCAUCUAAAAAAA